This is a long non-coding RNA of Olea europaea var. sylvestris, 390 nucleotides long. RefSeq lists it as uncharacterized. Lineage: Eukaryota; Viridiplantae; Streptophyta; Magnoliopsida; Lamiales; Oleaceae. The transcript has 2 exons. The record is from RefSeq and is a predicted model, not a curated record.
UUGUAUUCUAUCUCAUUGCAGGAAUGUCGUUCAUGGCAGUGACAGUCCUGAGAAUGGCAAGCGUGAAAUAGCACUCUGGUUCAAAGAGGGAGAACUAUGCGAAUGGACACCAGUUCUAGAGCCAUGGUUGACGGAAUAGUAUUUUUAUGUAUUAUUGCUCUUGUAUCGUUUUCGGGGUUCUUUUCCAGCCAUCUUGAGGACUGAUUCGUCCACUUUUUUGUAACUUUUUAGACGUACAUUCAAUACUUAAAUAUUGUACUCAACUGUAUUAGUUGAGAAAAAUAAGUUCCAAGUUUUAUCCAUUGUAAGGGCUAGUCAUUCCCGGAAGAACAGUAACUCCCAAGUGCCGUUGCUUCUUUGUCAAUUGAUUUUGUCUCUAUGAUUGUUCAA